This 420-nucleotide unclassified non-coding RNA is filed under the name Hevea brasiliensis (rubber tree). The record is from RNAcentral. Lineage: Eukaryota; Viridiplantae; Streptophyta; Magnoliopsida; Malpighiales; Euphorbiaceae.
AUACAUAUGUUCCAAUUUAUUUUCCAUGAAGUAGCAACAUCAAUGGAAAGGCUCAAGUGCAAUUCACAGUGACUAGGGACUGAGAGCAAACUACAUCUCUACAAGCUUAUAAUCUUGAUGCCUAAGUGCUUUUGUGCAAACCCUAUAAGAUUAUUGAUUUCAUUCCCAUCAACAAAGACAUUGCCGUUGGAAUCAGCAGACUGUAUCCCUCUCUGGCCUUUCCAUCUUGCAAACCAUCCUCCGUUGGCAUGGACAGCAUCCGCGAGCUCUUCUUUGCUAAUCCGGCCGUCUUUGUCAGAAUCGAACGAUUUCAACCAUAGUGUGAGCUCCUCCAUGGUCAUUUCACGUCACCCACAUUCAGAAAUACCACGAAUUGUCAAGAUCGCCAUUUCAGUGAUUGCAAGUGCAAGUGCUUUCUCG